RNAcentral lists this ribosomal RNA (769 nucleotides) under uncultured bacterium. RNAcentral describes it as "bacterial SSU rRNA". It matches the Rfam family "Bacterial small subunit ribosomal RNA", at positions 28 to 808 of the family's 1533-position model. The record is from RNAcentral.
GACGAACGCUGGCGGCGUGCCUAACACAUGCAAGUCGAACGGAGUUGAAAGGAGCUUGCUUUUUUCAACUCAGUGGCGGACGGGUGAGUAACGCGUGAGUAACCUGCCUUUCAGAGGGGGAUAACGUUCUGAAAAGAACGCUAAUACCGCAUAAGAUUGUAGUUUCGCAUGGAGCAGCAAUCAAAGGAGCAAUCCGCUGAAAGAUGGACUCGCGUCCGAUUAGAUAGUUGGCGGGGUAACGGCCCACCAAGUCGACGAUCGGUAGCCGGACUGAGAGGUUGAUCGGCCACAUUGGGACUGAGACACGGCCCAGACUCCUACGGGAGGCAGCAGUGAGGGAUAUUGGGCAAUGGGGGAAACCCUGACCCAGCAACGCCGCGUGAGGGAUGACGGUUUUCGGAUUGUAAACCUCUGUCCUCUGUGAAGAUAGUGACGGUAGCAGAGGAGGAAGCUCCGGCUAACUACGUGCCAGCAGCCGCGGUAAUACGUAGGGAGCAAGCGUUGUCCGGAUUUACUGGGUGUAAAGGGUGCGUAGGCGGAUUGGCAAGUCAGAAGUGAAAUCCAUGGGCUUAACCCAUGAACUGCUUUUGAAACUGUUAGUCUUGAGUGAAGUAGAGGUAGGCGGAAUUCCCGGUGUAGCGGUGAAAUGCGUAGAGAUCGGGAGGAACACCAGUGGCGAAGGCGGCCUACUGGGCUUUAACUGACGCUGAGGCACGAAAGUGUGGGUAGUAAACAGGAUUAGAUACCCUGGUAGUCCACACUGUAAACG